GACGAACGCUGGCGGCGUGCCUAAUACAUGCAAGUUGAGCGAUGAAGAUUGGUGCUUGCACCAAUUUGAAGAGCAGCGAACGGGUGAGUAACGCGUGGGGAAUCUGCCUUUGAGCGGGGGACAACAUUUGGAAACGAAUGCUAAUACCGCAUAACAACUUUAAACAUAAGUUUUAAGUUUGAAAGAUGCAAUUGCAUCACUCAAAGAUGAUCCCGCGUUGUAUUAGCUAGUUGGUGAGGUAAAGGCUCACCAAGGCGAUGAUACAUAGCCGACCUGAGAGGGUGAUCGGCCACAUUGGGACUGAGACACGGCCCAAACUCCUACGGGAGGCAGCAGUAGGAAAUCUUCGGCAAUGGACGAAAGUCUGACCGAGCAACGCCGCGUGAGUGAAGAAGGUUUUCGGAUCGUAAAACUCUGUUGGUAGAGAAGAACGUUGGUGAGAGUGGAAAGCUCAUCAAGUGACGGUAACUACCCAGAAAGGGACGGCUAACUACGUG
This 497-nucleotide ribosomal RNA is filed under the name uncultured bacterium. RNAcentral's name for it is "partial 16S ribosomal RNA". It matches the Rfam family "Bacterial small subunit ribosomal RNA", at positions 28 to 507 of the family's 1533-position model. The record is from RNAcentral.